GAUGAACGCUGGCGGCGUGCUUAACACAUGCAAGUCGAACGGAAAGGCCCAAGCUUGCUUGGGUCCUCGAGUGGCGAACGGGUGAGUAACACGUGGGUGAUCUGCCCUGCACUUCGGGAUAAGCCUGGGAAACUGGGUCUAAUACCGGAUAGGACCACUUCUUGGAUGUUGUGGUGGAAAGUUUUUUCGGUCUGGGUUGAGCUAGCGGCCUAUCAGCUUGUUUGUGGGGUAUUGUCCUACCAAGGCGUCGACGGGUAGCCGGCCUGAGAGGGUGUACGGCCACAUUGGGACUGAGAGACGGCCCAGACUCCUACGGGAGGCAGCAGUGGGGAAUAUUGCACAAUGGGCGCAAGCCUGAUGCAGCGACGCCGCGUGGGGGAUGACGGCCUUCGGGUUGAAAACUCCUUUCGCUAGGGACGAAGCGUUUUGUGACGGUACCUGGAGAAGAAGCACCGGCUAACUACGUG
RNAcentral lists this ribosomal RNA (467 nucleotides) under uncultured bacterium. RNAcentral's name for it is "partial 16S ribosomal RNA". It matches the Rfam family "Bacterial small subunit ribosomal RNA", at positions 28 to 507 of the family's 1533-position model. The record is from RNAcentral.